UUCCGGCAAAUGAUCGCCUUCAGAUGGG
RNAcentral lists this small RNA (28 nucleotides) under Bombyx mori (domestic silkworm). Its description in RNAcentral is "ovarian small RNA-37217". Lineage: Eukaryota; Metazoa; Arthropoda; Insecta; Lepidoptera; Bombycidae. The record is from RNAcentral.